This 494-nucleotide ribosomal RNA is filed under the name Limnonectes dabanus (Toumanoff's wart frog). RNAcentral's name for it is "partial 12S ribosomal RNA". It matches the Rfam family "Bacterial small subunit ribosomal RNA", at positions 801 to 1533 of the family's 1533-position model. The record is from RNAcentral. Lineage: Eukaryota; Metazoa; Chordata; Amphibia; Anura; Dicroglossidae.
GUAAAAUAUCUACUCACACUAACCCACGCCCGGGUAUUACGAGCCUAGCUUAAAACCCAAAGGACUUGACGGUGUCCUAUCCAACUAGAGGAGCCUGUUCUAUAAUCGACAAUCCCCGAUUCAUCUGACCCCACCUUGCCAACAUGCCUGUAUACCUCCGUCGUAAGCUUACCAUGUGAAUGUCAAUAGUAAGUUUAAUGAUCUUUACAUCAACACGUCAGGUCAAGGUGCAGCUUAUGGUGGGGAAAGCAAUGGGCAUCAAUUUCUAACAUAGAACAUACGAAAUGCUUCAUGAAAUCACGCCACGAAGUGAUUUAGCAGUAAAAAGAAAAUAAUGUGUUCUCUUUAAUAAGGCCAUGGACGUGUACACACCGCCCGUCACCCUCUUCAGCAUUUAUUCUUAGUUCAUAACUCAUUUCUUCACGUUAGAAGAGGCAAGUCGUAACAUGGUAAGUAUACCGGAAGUGUGCUUGGAUUAACAAAAUAUAGCUUAA